Oryza sativa Japonica Group (Japanese rice) is the source of this 1250-nucleotide non-coding RNA. NCBI's taxonomy places the organism in Eukaryota, Viridiplantae, Streptophyta, Magnoliopsida, Poales, Poaceae. The record is from RefSeq and is a predicted model, not a curated record.
CGUUCCCGCGGCCUUAUCGCAACUACACUGACCUUAAGUUUUAUCCUUCUCUCUGUGAUUAUGCUUCCACUCUGACAGUCCGAGCUAAUCUGAAUCCAUGAGGAAGAAAGAUUUACUCUGUCCCUCACUAUAUGAGGCCUAACAAAUGACAGUAGCAGGUCUUAAUUUAUGGGCGCAACUGAAGAUUUUAUUUUUUCGCCGGGGACUUCUACUGAAGAUUCGCUGCUAAGCUGUUGCAGAAUGGUGGAACUGUAAAUGAAAAAAAAGAAGAAGUAAAAAGGGAUAAUUUUGUUCUUACCCCUAUUUUGAUAUCCAAUAUCGAUUUUGCUCCUAGUUUUUAAGGUUUUUAUUUUUGCCCCUGUUUUCUGAAAAUGAAGUAGACGUUUACCCCUAUUUUUAACGGAAGUUAGUCAACCUGGGAUUAUGGAGCUGAAGAAGUAGAGAAAAAAAGAAGUAAUGAUUUUUAAUUCGUUGAUGGACCUUUAUACCCCUGGUGAGCCAUAACCAAACAAUGCCGGUCCUUGCCUUCCCCAAUCCCACCUAUGGUGACGAGCAGAAGGCCGCGCGUGUCGAGGCAGGCCAGGCGACUGCGGCUCGACAAGGGGACGAGAGGACGAUGGGCUCUUGUCCAGGCGGUAGCGGCUUAUCGUGAGGAGCUUGUGGCGGCGGCGUCUCAGCUAGGCAUCGGCGGCUUCAUGCGGGAAGGCGACGACGGCAGUGGCCCGGCCAAGCGGUGGCGGCUAGCACGCCAAGCAACAGGCCGCGCGCAGCGAGCAGGUCUCACGGGCGCUGCAAGCUGAUGGCGAGCAGGCCGGGCGCGGCGGACGGCCGGAGGUGCACGCUGCGGCAAGCAGCACCAACCUGGCAAUUGGAAGAAGCAACAUGCUACUAGAUUGGAUUUUUUUGACCUCAUGAUUUGGAUUUGCUUGAUUUUGUGAUGAUUGCUAUUACAUGUCUUUUGUUAGCUGUGUAAAAACCAUGCCCAAAUUCUGUCUUUUUUUUCUUUUGCAAAAUAUACAAAUUUUAUCAAAUUUGUCGCAAAAUUAUAUUAUGUCAAAAUUUUUAAUGUUCUAUCAAAAAUUGUCAUAUUUGCAAAAGUUUGUGAAAAAUGCAAUGUAAAAAUGGGGGCAAAUGCACAAUUAUUGAAUAAACAUUCAGACAAAUAUUCAAUAUCAAAUAGGGGUAUGAUUGUCUUUUCGCCAGAGAUGUAACACCGUUAACAUGUCCAUCCAAAGUAGGGGUAAAAUUUG